RNAcentral lists this long non-coding RNA (243 nucleotides) under Phoenix dactylifera (date palm). RNAcentral describes it as "long non-coding RNA (PDAC_LNC016265)". The record is from RNAcentral. Lineage: Eukaryota; Viridiplantae; Streptophyta; Magnoliopsida; Arecales; Arecaceae.
UCAUGCUCUUGGAUCUGGGCGUGACAAUUUUUUAUUUAACAUGUGUAGCAAACACUGAAUUGGAUGCCUGUAAAGUGCAGAAAGGAAAGGAAUAAAAGCUAGAUCAAAUCUAUUUAUAGCAACUGCAAUGUUACAAAAACAAAUUUCAUUCUGCUUGCACAAAAGUUGCAUUGGAAAUUGUUGAAAUCACCACUUAUCCUAAAAGCUUAAGCUGAUAGGAUGAGAUAGAUUUAUUUAUAUAUU